Molecule: ribosomal RNA, 253 nt
Filed under: uncultured bacterium
Lineage: Bacteria
Description: partial 16S ribosomal RNA
Rfam family: Bacterial small subunit ribosomal RNA
Source: RNAcentral
UACGAAGGGGGGCUAGCGUUGCUCGGAAUUACUGGGCGUAAAGGGCGCGUAGGCGGCACUGUUAGUCAGGCGUGAAAGUCCUGGGCUCAACCUGGGAACUGCGCUUGAUACGGCAGAGCUAGAGGAUGGAAGAGGCUCGCGGAAUUCCCAGUGAGAGGUGAAAUUCGUAGAUAUUGGGAAGAACACCGGUGGCGAAGGCGGCGAGCUGGUCCAUUACUGACGCUGAGGCGCGACAGCGUGGGGAGCAAACAGG